UUUGGGCAGCUUUAUGGGAAUACAGGUGCUGUCAACAGCAGCAGGGCCUUGUAUACAUUAGUGAGAGAAAAGCCAGGCAGUGGGAGAAAAGAGCAGAGUAAACAGCUGCCUCAGAGAGAGAGAGGGGGCAAAGAUGAAGAGGAGAGAGAGAAAGCCAGAGGGGGAGCUGGGGGGGAGAGGAGUGACAGGGAUAAAGGGAGGUUAGGAAAAAGAGGAAGACUUUUGGGACAGGGAGCAUGAAAAGACUGAGAGAGAAAUACUGAGAAAGAAAGAGGUGGGAGGAAAACCAAGUUCAAUCGCAUUAAGCAAUGACACCCUUGUAAACACAUGGUAGCCUCAGCAUGCGCAUUGCUCUCGCCAUCCUCACUCCAGCCCAGGAAUUUCCCAAACUCCUUUCAGCUCGGAGAGUAUCUCUGCCAGGCUGAGGAGUUUGGGGCUCCUGGGGGCUCUUUGGGGGCUGAAGGUGGUGGUGGAGGUCUCAGAGUGAGGAAUUCAGUUUCCUUCCGUCCCUCAAUUUUCUCUUCACCAUAA
Long non-coding RNA from Lepisosteus oculatus (spotted gar), 531 nucleotides. Lineage: Eukaryota; Metazoa; Chordata; Actinopteri; Semionotiformes; Lepisosteidae. The record is from Ensembl.